Molecule: ribosomal RNA, 1102 nt
Filed under: Collemopsidium sp. A IGB-2016
Lineage: Eukaryota; Fungi; Ascomycota; Collemopsidiomycetes; Collemopsidiales; Xanthopyreniaceae
Description: bacterial SSU rRNA
Rfam family: Eukaryotic small subunit ribosomal RNA
Source: RNAcentral
ACUACAUGGAUAACCGUGGUAAUUCUAGAGCUAAUACAUGCCAAAAACCCCGACUCACGGAGGGGUGUAUUUAUUAGAUAAAAAACCGACGCCCUUCGGGGCUCACCGGUGAUUCAUGAUAACUUCACGAAUCGCAUGGCCUUGCGCCGGCGAUGGUUCAUUCAAAUUUCUGCCCUAUCAACUUUCGAUGGUAGGAUAGUGGCCUACCAUGGUGUCGACGGGUGACGGGGAAUUAGGGUUCGAUUCCGGAGAGGGAGCCUGAGAAACGGCUACCACAUCCAAGGAAGGCAGCAGGCGCGCAAAUUGCCCAAUCCCGACACGGGGAGGUACGUAGAGAUCCAUUUCUUUUUUUCUUCCCGUGCGUGUUAUAGUGAAAUAUUUCCCUUCUUUCGUCAGUCUUAACCCCCGAUUCGAUAUCGCGGGAAUCACGCUAGUCCGCUUCAGGACCGCGCUAGUCUACUUCAGGACCACGCUAACCCCAAUCUAGGCAGUGACAAUAAAUACCGAUGCAGGGCUCUUAUGGGUCUUGUAAUUGGAAUGAGUACAAUUUAAAUCCCUUAACGAGGAACAAUUGGAGGGCAAGUCUGGUGCCAGCAGCCGCGGUAAUUCCAGCUCCAAUAGCGUAUAUUAAAGUUGUUGCAGUUAAAAAGCUCGUAGUUGAACCUUGGGCCUGGCUGGCCGGUCCGCCUCACCGCGUGCACUGGUCCGGCCGGGCCUUUCCUUCUGGGGAUCCGCAUGCCCUUCACUGGGCGUGUCGGGGAACCAGGACUUUUACUUUGAAAAAAUUAGAGUGUUCAAAGCAGGCCUUUGCUCGAAUACAUUAGCAUGGAAUAAUAGAAUAGGACGAGCGGUCCUAUUUUGUUGGUUUCUAGGACCGCCGUAAUGAUUAAUAGGGAUAGUCGGGGGCAUCGGUAUUCAAUUGUCAGAGGUGAAAUUCUUGGAUUUAUUGAAGACCAACUACUGCGAAAGCAUUUGCCAAGGAUGUUUUCAUUAAUCAGUGAACGAAAGUUAGGGGAUCGAAGACGAUCAGAUACCGUCGUAGUCUUAACCAUAAACCAUGCCGACUAGGGAUCGGGCGACGUUUCCAUUUUGACUCGCUCGG